This 247-nucleotide long non-coding RNA is filed under the name Fukomys damarensis (Damara mole-rat). RNAcentral describes it as "lncRNA (ENSFDAG00000029180.1)". The record is from RNAcentral. Lineage: Eukaryota; Metazoa; Chordata; Mammalia; Rodentia; Bathyergidae.
GGAGCCCUGAGGUCUAGCCAAGACUUGCAAGGCAGUGAGGGGCUCCCGGUUGCCAGGACUCCCCACUCAGUCUUGCACAGUGCAUCUCCUGGCUGUUGGAUCCCAAGCACAUUGUGGUGUGAAAGCUGCCUGCUCCUAGAACUGGUCCUGGACACUUUCUUGUCUGUGUAAAUGGACAGUGAAGACAGACGCACUCUUCUAGGGAGAAGACACUGGUGUCAGGUUUUAAUAAAAUAAAGGUGACAAG